This 1483-nucleotide ribosomal RNA is filed under the name uncultured prokaryote. RNAcentral describes it as "partial 16S ribosomal RNA". It matches the Rfam family "Bacterial small subunit ribosomal RNA". The record is from RNAcentral.
UCUGGCUCAGAUUGAACGCUGGCGGCAGGCUUAACACAUGCAAGUCGAGCGGUAACAGAGAGUAGCUUGCUACUUUGCUGACGAGCGGCGGACGGGUGAGUAACGCGUAGGAAUCUGCCUGGUAGUGGGGGAUAGCCCAGAGAAAUUUGGAUUAAUACCGCAUACGCCCUACGGGGGACAGGAGGGGAUCUAUUUAUAGACCUUUCGCUGAUGAGCCUGCGUGAGAUUAGCUUGUUGGUGAGGUAAAGGCUCAUCAAGGCGACGAUCAGUAGCUGGUCUGAGAGGAUGAUCAGCCACACUGGAACUGAGACACGGUCCAGACUCCUACGGGAGGCAGCAGUGGGGAAUAUUGCACAAUGGGGGAAACCCUGAUGCAGCCAUGCCGCGUGUAUGAAGAAGGCCUUCGGGUUGUAAAGUACUUUCAGUCGUGAGGAAGGUUAGGUAGUUAAUAACUGCUUAGCUUGACGUUAGCGACAGAAGAAGCUCCGGCUAACUCCGUGCCAGCAGCCGCGGUAAUACGGAGGGAGCGAGCGUUAAUCGGAAUUACUGGGCGUAAAGCGCAUGCAGGCGGUUUAUUAAGUCAGAUGUGAAAGCCCUGGGCUCAACCUAGGAAAGUCAUUUGAAACUGGUAAACUAGAGUCUUGUAGAGGGGGGUAGAAUUUCAGGUGUAGCGGUGAAAUGCGUAGAGAUCUGAAGGAAUACCAGUGGCGAAGGCGGCCCCCUGGACAGAUACUGACACUCAGAUGCGAAAGCGUGGGGACCAAACAGGAUUAGAUACCCUGGUAGUCCACGCCGUAAACGAUGUCUACUUGGAGGUUGUGGCCUUGAGCCGUGGCUUUCGGAGCUAACGCGUUAAGUAGACCGCCUGGGGAGUACGGUCGCAAGAUUAAAACUCAAAUGAAUUGACGGGGGCCCGCACAAGCGGUGGAGCAUGUGGUUUAAUUCGAAGCAACGCGAAGAACCUUACCCGCUCUUGACAUCCACAGAAGCCAGUAGAGAUACAGGUGUGCCUUCGGGAGCUGUGAGACAGGUGCUGCAUGGCUGUCGUCAGCUCGUGUUGUGAAAUGUUGGGUUAAGUCCCGUAACGAGCGCAACCCUUGUCCUUAUUUGCCAGCACGUAAUGGUGGGAACUCUAAGGAGACUGCCGGUGACAAACCGGAGGAAGGUGGGGACGACGUCAAGUCAUCAUGGCCCUUACGAGCGGGGCUACACACGUGCUACAAUGGCCAGGACAAACGGCUGUAAACCUGCGAAGGUAAGCUAAUCUCACAAAACCGGUCGUAGUCCGGAUCGGAGUCUGCAACUCGACUCCGUGAAGUCGGAAUCGCUAGUAAUCGUGGAUCAGAAUGCCACGGUGAAUACGUUCCUGGGCUUUGUACACACCACCCGUCACACCAUGGGAGUGGAUUGCAAAAGAAGUGGGUAGACUAACCUUCGGGGGGUCGCUCACCACUUUGUGGUUCAUGACUGGGGUGAAGUCGUA